CUAAAUUACAAACGUUUUCAGCCAUCUUCAUUACUGUACAAAUACUAAAGAUUAUGACAAUGAAAUUCACUAUAACAUGGGAAGAAAACAUGGGUAUAGCAAAAGUUUUUUUGUCUUCGAUCCUAAGAAAUGUUGAGACUAAUCAAAGUCAAGCGGGAGCACACCAGAUUGCAAAUGAUGACAACACACAACAGCAGGCCAUAAAUGAAGAAAAUAGUUUUAUUAAGUGCUAUACUAUUUGGCUAAAUGUCCUGUGGUUAAAAAAGAAUUAACCUAGCUAAUAAAAAACUAGCCAGUAGAAGGAACCCAUCCGUUUUUGAGUCCAUUAGAAAUAGCAAAGAUAAGCUGAAAGAUAAAUAUAAAUGAGGAGUAUACAGUAUUCCGGUCACCAAUAAAAGCAGUGGAACAGAAAAUAGAUAUAUAGGUAUUAUAACUCACACAUUAGAAGAAAGGUUAAACAAGCAUCGAAAAGAUGUAAAGGAAGGAAGAGUGAAUGCUGUGUUAGCAGAAGAAUAUUAUACUGAAAAUGUAGAAGUACACUGGGACCGUGCCAGAAUAAUAAAACAAAUAGAUAGUAUAGAG
RNAcentral lists this long non-coding RNA (582 nucleotides) under Androctonus crassicauda. The record is from RNAcentral. Lineage: Eukaryota; Metazoa; Arthropoda; Arachnida; Scorpiones; Buthidae.